GACGAACGCUGGCGGCGUGCUUAACACAUGCAAGUCGAACGGAAAGGCCCCUUUGGGGGUACUCGAGUGGCGCACGGGUGAGUAACACGUGAGUAACCUGCCCUUGACUUCGGGAUAACUUCAGGAAACUGGGGCUAAUACCGGAUAGGAAUCCUUGCUGCAUGGUGGGGGUUGGAAAGCUUCGGCGGUUUUGGAUGGACUCGCGGCUUAUCAGCUUGUUGGUGGGGUAGUGGCUUACCAAGGCUUUGACGGGUAGCCGGCCUGAGAGGGCGACCGGCCACAUUGGGACUGAGAGACGGCCCAGACUCCUACGGGGGGCAGCAGUGGGGAAUAUUGCACAAUGGGCGGAAGGCGGAUGCAGCAACGCCGCGUGCGGGAUGACGGCCUUCGGGUUGUAAACCGCUUUCAGCAGGGGCGAAGCUUGUGGUGACGGUACCUGCAGAAGAAGCACCGGCUAACUACGUG
RNAcentral lists this ribosomal RNA (465 nucleotides) under uncultured bacterium. RNAcentral's name for it is "partial 16S ribosomal RNA". It matches the Rfam family "Bacterial small subunit ribosomal RNA", at positions 28 to 507 of the family's 1533-position model. The record is from RNAcentral.